CACGUAGGUGGCAAGCGUUGUCCGGAAUUAUUGGGCGUAAAGAGCGUGUAGGCGGUCCGGUAAGUCAGCUGUGAAAGUCAAGGGCUCAACCCUUGAAUGCCGGUUGAUACUGUCGGGCUAGAGUCCGGAAGAGGCGAGUGGAAUUCCCGGUGUAGCGGUGAAAUGCGCAGAUAUCGGGAGGAACACCAAUGGCGAAGGCAGCUCGCUGGGACGGUACUGACGCUGAGACGCGAAAGCGUGGGGAGCAAACAGG
Molecule: ribosomal RNA, 253 nt
Filed under: uncultured bacterium
Lineage: Bacteria
Description: partial 16S ribosomal RNA
Rfam family: Bacterial small subunit ribosomal RNA
Source: RNAcentral